Molecule: ribosomal RNA, 301 nt
Filed under: uncultured bacterium
Lineage: Bacteria
Description: partial 16S ribosomal RNA
Rfam family: Bacterial small subunit ribosomal RNA
Source: RNAcentral
CAGCAGCCGCGGGAAUACGGAGGAUCCAAGCGUUAUCCGGAAUCAUUGGGUUUAAAGGGUCCGUAGGCGGUCUUGUAAGUCAGUGGUGAAAGCCAAUCGCUCAACGGUGGAACGGCCAUUGAUACUGCAGGACUUGAAUUAUUGGGAAGUAACUAGAAUAUGUAGUGUAGCGGUGAAAUGCUUAGAGAUUACAUGGGAUACCAAUUGCGAAGGCAGGUUACUACCAAUUGAUUGACGCUGAUGGACGAAAGCGUGGGUAGCGAACAGGAUUAGAGACCCCUGUAGUCCCUGUCUCUUAUAC